Molecule: long non-coding RNA, 797 nt
Organism: Rhipicephalus sanguineus (brown dog tick)
Lineage: Eukaryota; Metazoa; Arthropoda; Arachnida; Ixodida; Ixodidae
Exons: 4
Source: RefSeq, a predicted model, not a curated record
UGCGACCUUAUGCCCCGGAUGAGGAAGGAAGAUACAUUUUCCGGUAAUAUUUCAUGGGCUCGCUCGAGAGGUGCUUCUGGAAGGACGUUCCGGACUAUGAUCGCCGAAUUCACCGCUGGAUACUACCUGUGAUGAUGACAUUGGGGAAAUGCCAAGUUGGCCUUUCAUAUUUGCUAAAGGUGGUGGUUUCCUGACAGGGAAGUCCUUCACACCUUGCAUUGACAACGUUCCUCUCAUGCAAGCAUCCAGUCCUAGAGAGGCGUUCAAGAUAUUAUUCCUGGCACACUUUGCGUCAACUUUGCCCACCCAAAAGAGACAAGUCUUAUGCUGGAGUUCACUCAUAGGUCAAUUGCCACUGUCAGUCCCGGAAAGGGCACAACGACUGACCAUACACGUGGGAAACAGCACAACCUGAACCCGAAAGUGCCGUCAUUGAGUAGCUCCCUGAAGGACUUGACGUUUAAACAUAUGUGCCGGCCAACUCGAACAAUAUCCCCGAGAGAUUCCUGAAUCUGGACCCCUUGUGAUACUGGGGGCAUAGUGAACGAAACGGGAAUUGUACAACUAACAGACAAGAAAGCCAAGGCAAGUACAGGGGAUGUUAUUUGUAGUCAUUACGAAGUAAGUGUGAAGAAAGCAAAGUGGAUGAAAAGAUAACAUCGCGCUGGCAGGGACCGAACCUGCGACCUUCAAAUAAUGCAUAGUGACCGCUUGUGAUAGCGUGGGCAUCUCUCGUAUUUCAAGAUGCACAUGUUGGCAACUGCCUGAACUUUUAUGUUCCAUGUCAAUAAACUUGU